CAGUACCGUGAGGGAAAGGUGAAAAGAACCCCGGGAGGGGAGUGAAAUAGUACCUGAAACCGUGUGCCUACAAGGUGUGGGAGCGGCCUUGUGCCGUGACCGCGUGCCUUUUGUAGAAUGAGCCGGUGAGUUACCGUCGGGAGCAAGGUUAAGGCCGACAGGCCGAAGCCGUAGCGAAAGCGAGUCUUAAAAGGGCGAACUAGUUUCCGGCGGCAGACGCGAAACCUGGUGACCUAGCCAUGGGCAGGUUGAAACGACCGUAAAAGGUUGUGGAGGACCGAACCCACAAGAGUUGAAGAUCUUGGGGAUGACCUGUGGCUAGCGGUGAAAAGCCAAUCGAACCAGGAGAUAGCUCGUUCUCCCCGAAAUAGCUUUAGGGCUAGCCUCGCGUGAUAAGUGACGGUUGUAGAGCACUGAUUGAGCUAGGGGGCUUACCAGCUUACCAAACUCACUCAAACUCCGAAGGCCGUUACUCGUAUCGCGGGAGUCAGACUGCGGGGGCUAAGCUCCGUAGUCGAGAGGGAAACAGCCCAGACCGACAGCUAAGGUCCCUAAAUCCGUGCUAAGUGGGAAACGAUGUGGGAGUACCCAGACAGCCAGGAGGUUGGCUUAGAAGCAGCCAUUCCUUUAAAGAGUGCGUAACAGCUCACUGGUCAAGUGCUCCUGCGCGGAAAAUGUAACGGGGCUCAAGCACGGUACCGAAGCUUCGGAUUCCUUUGGGAAUGGUAGGGGAGCAUUCCGUCGUAGGUCGAAGGCGGACCGCGAGGUCCGCUGGACGAAACGGAAGUGAGUAUGCCGGCACGAGUAGCGAUAAAAAGGGUGAGAAACCCUUUCGCCGUAAGCCUAAGGUUUCCUGGGGAAGGUUAAUCCGCCCAGGGUUAGUCGGCCCCUAAGGCGAGGCCGAAAGGCGUAGCCGAUGGGUAGCAGGUCAAAUAUUCCUGCACCAGCAACGUGCGCCCGAGCGAUGGGGUGACGCAGGAGGGUAGGCCGGCCACCGGACGGAAGUGGUGGUUUAAGCCCGUAGGGGGAAGGCUUUGGAAAAUCCGGGCCUUCUCAACCCCGAGAGGUGAUGACGAUGGGAGAAAUCCCUUCAAGCGGCUAAGCCCACGCUGCCUGGAAAAACCUCUAGCGAGCACGUUUCUGACCGUACCGCAAUCCGACACAGGUAGGCGAGGAGAGAAUCCUAAGGCGCUCGAGAGAACUCUGGUCAAGGAACUCGGCCAAGUGACCCCGUAACUUCGGGAGAAGGGGUGCUCCCAACCGUGACGGGACUAGCUCCCCGAGCGGAUGGGAGUCACAGAAAAUCGGCCCAGGCGACUGUUUACUAAAAACACAGGUCUCUGCUAAGGCCUAAAGCCGACGUAUAGGGACUGACGCCUGCCCGGUGCCGGAAGGUUAAGAGGAGGGGUUAGCCGAAGAUUUCUUCGGCGAAGCCCUGAAUUGAAGCCCCGGUAAACGGCGGCCGUAACUAUAACGGUCCUAAGGUAGCGAAAUUCCUUGUCGGGUAAGUUCCGACCCGCACGAAUGGCGCAACGACUUGGGCACUGUCUCGACCAGAGACUCGGCGAAACUGUAUUACCGGUGAAGAUGCCGGUUACCCGCGACUGGACAGAAAGACCCCGUGGAGCUUUACUGCAGCUUGAUGUUGGGUUCUGGUGCAUCCUGUGUAGGAUAGGUGGGAGGCAAUGAAGCGCGGGCGCCAGCCCGCGUGGAGCCAUCCUUGAAAUACCACCCUGGGUGUAUCGGCAUUCUAACCUUGGCCCGUUAGCCGGGUCGGGGACAGCGUCUGGCGGGCAGUUUGUCUGGGGCGGAUACCUCCCAAAAUGUAACGGAGGUGCCCUAAGGUCGCUUCAGCGCGUAUGGAAAUCGCGUGGCGAGUGUAAAGGCAAAAAGCGGCUUAACUGCGAGAGAGACAUCUCAAGCAGAUGCGAAAGCAGGGCUUAGUGAUCUUGUGGUCCCGAGUGGAAGGGCCAUGACUUAUCGGACAAAAGUUACCCCGGGGAUAACAGGCUUAUAGCGCCCGAGCGUCCACAGCGACGGCGCUGUUUGGCACCUCGAUGUCGGCUCGCCGUAUCCUGGGGCUGCAGGUGGUCCCAAGGGUUGGGCUGUUCGCCCAUUAAAACGGCACGCGAGCUGGGUUUAGAACGUCGUGAGACAGUUCGGUCCCUAUCCGUCGUGGGUGUUGGAAGCUUGAGGAGAGCUGCCCCUAGUACGAGAGGAUUGGGGUGGACGAACCUCUAGUGUACCGGUUGUCGCGCCAGCGGCACCGCCGGGUAGCUAUGUUCGGAAAGGAUAAGCGCUGAAAGCAUCUAAGCGCCAAGCCAACUCCAAAACCAGGCUUCCCGGGGACUUUGAGCCCCCUGAAGGCGCCUCGCAGACUACGAGGUUGAUAGGACGCUGGUGUAAGUACCGUGAGGUAUUCAGCCUAGCGUUACUAAUACGCCGUGAGGCUUGACC
This 2457-nucleotide ribosomal RNA is filed under the name sediment metagenome. RNAcentral's name for it is "bacterial LSU rRNA". It matches the Rfam family "Bacterial large subunit ribosomal RNA", at positions 496 to 2925 of the family's 2925-position model. The record is from RNAcentral.